UCAAAUUCAUUAAAUAAAUCACCUUAUCGAGAUUUUUCCAUUCGAAGAAUAACUUACGAAUAAUAGUACAUCGUCAACAAAAGCUCAUAAGAGCUGGUCCUCCCGAAUACGCCAACAGAAGCUCGAAAGCUGAACAGAAGCUUGUAAGAGCUUAACAAAAGCUCAUAAGAGCUGACCACCCAAUCACGCCAAACAAAAAGUAGAACACAAGAGUUUCUAACAAAUGCUGAACCCCGGUUUGCUUGAGUAAAAUGCCGAUAUCUCCCUCCAAUACUAUCUUCACUCCAAACCUCCGUCAUACACCAAAUCACGAAUGUACUCAAAUCCCACGUUCAAUUCAAACUGAAUAUCCAAUUCAAUAUUAUAAUUCAAAUAAUAAUUAAUUUCCAACAAUAGAAUAUAUGCACAAUACCAAUCAUUAGUUUAUACAAAUGUUAAAUUUUAACCAUACAUGUAAUACCCCCUACCCGUUUUCGUCGUCGAAAUAGGAUACGAGGCAUUACCAGAUUUUACUGAAUUAAUUUUUUUUCUGUUAUUACGAGUUUAAUUACUAUUCAUUUAUCUAAUCAUGUCAUGACGUCCCUUGGAUAGGCCUCCGAAGCCCAAAAUAUACAUCGGGACUAAACUGAUAUUAAAUCGAAGCCAUAAGAAAUUUUUUGCAAAAUCUCAAAGUUAUACUUACUCUAGCCAUACCAACAGCUAAGUUACAAACAUUCAUUUCUAUGUAAUAUUGGUAUUUAGUCUAUACAUGCCAUUCUUUCAAAAUAAGUCAUUUUCAAAUACCAAAAGAUAUGGGUUGAUAGUGUGAUAAAGCUCCGACUAAUCUCCAACCUUCGAGCUCCCGAGCACUACAAAAUAGGGAAAAAGAGAACAGGGUAAGCACAUUGUGCUUAGUAAGUUCAUGCAACAAGAAUUAUACUUACCAUAUUAUACACCUAUCAUUUAAUAACACAAGCACACAUCCAAUUCACAUAAACAUAUACCUAUCACAUACAAACUCAACUUUUGCAUUAGUUAAGUAAACAUCAUAUAAAUUCAUUACAAAGACAAAUGAUUGAUGAGCUCAUCAAUUCCAUAUUUUCCAUUCCCUUGUUAUUUUUCCAUAUUUAUCCUGUUAAAUUUCUCGGAAUUUCGAUGGAUUUUUAGAGGUACACUUUAGUGUACAAAUCCGGGUCCGUCAAUUCAUAUUCAUGUGCGCACAUUUCCAUUUCAGAGAGCACACUCCCGCGAAUCUCAUCCUUACAGUGGGAUUACCAGUCCAGGCUAAAUCCCCUGUAAUAUAAACUCAUAGAGUAUUGUCGGGAUUGCCAGUCCAGGCUAAAUCCCCUGCAACGACAAUUACUCUAAUGAGUUUGGAUCUGAAUUACCAGUCCAGGCUAAAUUCAGACCCUAAUUUGGAUUACCAGUCCGGGCUAAAUCCAUUUUCCACAUAUUUUUCGGGAGGGUUAUAUCAGGAUAGGAUCACCCGUCCAGGCUAGAUCCUUUUUACCGUCAAUUCCUUUUCAGAGAUCCAUCGAAUUUUCCUUUCAUUCAACUGAGAUUUAUUUUCUCUUUUCAUCAAGAAUAUCAAUACUUCAUCAAUUAUCAUACAAUAAACAUCUAAAUCAUAUUCAAAUCAAGAAAAAUAUAUUUCAAGCAUUUAAGAAUAUAAUUCAAGUUACACGAAAUUACUUCGAUACUUGUUCGUAAACAAAAAUCUACUAAUCCCGAACUUUUUCUUUUCCUCGAUCUAGCUUCAUAUUUAAAUUUUCCGGAUCUAAAUAAAUAAAUUUAAUCAUUAAUCUAAUACUUUUCAUGUUCAUAUGUAACAGUCUCUAUAAUUCCAUUAUUAUUUAUAUUGCAUUCAAAGCUGUCUAACUAAGUCAUAGUCACUAAAUUAUUUAUAUCUUGAGCUACGGAACUCCAAAUUAAGAUCUUCUAAUUUUCCCCGAAACUAGACUCACAUAUAUUCUUACCAUAAAAUUUUCAGAAUUUUUUGUUUAUCCAAUAAGUACAGUUUAUUCUUUAAAGUUUCCCCUGUUUCACUGUUUGAUAGUUCCGAUCCCUCUUCACUAAAAAUUAAUUAUCUCAUUAUACAGGAUUUGGAUGAUGUUUCUGUUUGUUUCUUCUGAAAAUAGACUCAUUAAGGAUUCUAACCAUAUAAAUUAUAACUCAUAAUAAUUUUUGUACAAAUUUUAAUGAUUUUACAAAGUAAGAACAGGGGAACCCGAAUUCAUUCUGACCUUGUCUCACAAAAUCUAUUAUAUAUCAUGAUUUACAAUUCCAUUGAUUAAACCGUUUCUUUUAUAAGAAACUAGACUCAAUAAGCUUUAAUUUCAUAUUUUAUUCAUCCUCUAAUUCGAUCUCUACAAUUUUUGGUGAUUUUUCAAAGUUAGACUACUGCUACUGUCCAAAACUGUUUUAGUGCAUAAUGUUAAUUACCAUUCUUUCCCUAAUCUUUCAAUAAAUGAUAAUUUCAUCCCUACUCAAUUAACCUCUCAAUUGAGCUAAUUUUUCUCAACCAACACUUUAUUCUAUCACUUUAAUCUACUUUAUAACCUUUGGAAAUCAGAAUUUUAGCACUAGACUUUAAUUCCAAAUUUUUUCACAAUUAAGUCCUACAAAUCAAUUUCUAUUGAAAUUACCUAAUAAAAUCAUCUCAUAAACAAAUUAAAGCUUCAAUUUCAUCCUAUUUCAUCAUAAAAUUCCAGCACAUAUUCAUAGAAACUUUCAAAUUCAUUCAUAAAAUAAAAAACUAAUGAAUUUAGUAAUAGGACCUAGUUGUAAAAGUCUUAGAAACACAAAAAUUACAAGAAAAAGGCAAUGAUUAACUCACUUGGUGCAAAAAUUAUGAAAAACCAGCUUGAAGAAAACCUUAGGAUGUUUUUUGGCUGAUGAAAAUGCAGAAAAAUAAAGAGAAUUCUAGAUAUUCCACUUUAGUCCUAACUUUUAAAGUAAAAUUUACAAUAUUCCAAUUUUACCCUUAAUUCUUUAAUUCUCCUGAUUUUUCUCAGCGUAUGCCGCCCAAAAUAUCUCCUUUUGGGGUUAUUUUCAAUUUAUAUCCCUCUUCAUUUAACAAUUGAGCUAUUUAACCAUUCUAGUAACUUUUACACUUUUUUCAAUUAGUCCUUUUCACUUAAUUGACUACCCAAACGUUAAAAUUUUCUAACGAAAUUUUAAUACCAUAUUAUUGACACUUCAUAAAUAUUUAUAAAAAUAUUUUUUACUCAAUUUUACGAGAUCGAGGUCUCGAUACCUUAUUUUUACCCAAUUUCUUCAAUACUUUCUUUUUCUAACUAACCACUAAAUCGGUAAAAUUUUUCUAUCGAUAUUUUCAUACUAUUUUCCUAUCAUACGAAUAUUCAUGAAAAAAUAUUAAAACAAAUUUCUCUUUAAAUCGGAUUUGUGGUUACGAAACCACUAUUCCGAUAACCUUGAAUUUGGGCCAUUACAAUACGAACUUACCUGGACUGAAUUAUAGUAAUUGCAGAAGUUUAGGGACUAUUCCACUAUUUUUCCUUUUCCACGAGUAUUUACAAGAUCUUAAUCUAAAAUAUAAAAUUACUCAUUUAUUAGCAUAUAUUUCGUCUCCAAUCUAUUUUACAAUUAAUACCCUUUUAUUUUUUGAAUUUACGCAAUUACUUCAAACUUUUACAAUUUUUGCAAAUUAAUCCCUUAAUUAGUUAAUCUAUCAAAUUAACUAGUUUUCUCAAAUCAUUAAUCUAUCCAAAUAUUCUAGCCCCUCAUACAGCUCCUAAUAAACCUAAAAUUCACUAUCAAACCCAAAUAUUUUGACAUUUUCACAAUUUAAUCCUAAAACCAAUAUUUAACAAAAAUCACUUUACAAAAUCAUCACACAACACAAUCAAAGCUCCAAAUCCAUGUUAUUCAUAAAAAAAAACAUCUAAUAUUUAUCAAUGGCAACUUCCAAAAUUUUUAACAGAAUCAGAAACGAAGGUACGAGUUAGCUAGACCUAGUUGCAACGAUCUCAAAAAUAUAAAAAUAACAAGAAACGGGUAAAAAUUGAACUCACAUGGAAGCUCCUAUGCUUAACCAAUUCUCCAAUCUAUUUCUAUGGUGUUUCGGCA
This 4068-nucleotide long non-coding RNA is filed under the name Gossypium barbadense (sea-island cotton). RNAcentral describes it as "long non-coding RNA (GBAR_LNC022026)". The record is from RNAcentral. Lineage: Eukaryota; Viridiplantae; Streptophyta; Magnoliopsida; Malvales; Malvaceae.